This is a non-coding RNA of Haloplasma contractile SSD-17B, 202 nucleotides long. NCBI's taxonomy places the organism in Bacteria, Bacillati, Mycoplasmatota, Mollicutes, Haloplasmatales, Haloplasmataceae. The record is from Rfam.
CGAAUCCUACCUAGUAAAGUCUAACCAACAACUAGUACUUAGUCUUGGGGCCGAAACAGCAAUGUUAGCUAUAAGCGUAGACAAGACAAAGGAACAUUAAAGGAGUAGACUAAAGUCGUUAGCCUCGAAAGGCCGAUGAUGUUGGAGAAACAGAAGACAACAUUAAAAAUAUCACAUUAACUUUCCCGGGGCAGUAAGAUCU